Molecule: ribosomal RNA, 253 nt
Filed under: uncultured prokaryote
Description: partial 16S ribosomal RNA
Rfam family: Bacterial small subunit ribosomal RNA
Source: RNAcentral
GACGAACCACACAAACGUUAUUCGGAAUUACUGGGCUUAAAGGGUGCGUAGGCUGCGCGGAAAGUUGGGUGUGAAAUCCCUCGGCUCAACCGAGGAACUGCGCCCAAAACUACCGUGCUUGAGGAAGAUAGAGGUGAGCGGAACUUACGGUGGAGCGGUGAAAUGCGUUGAUAUCGGGAGGAACACCUGUGGCGAAAGCGGCGCACUGGACCACUACUGACGCUGAGGCGCGAAAGCUAGGGGAGCAAACAGG